Long non-coding RNA from Canis lupus familiaris (dog), 212 nucleotides. RefSeq lists it as uncharacterized. The transcript has 3 exons. NCBI's taxonomy places the organism in Eukaryota, Metazoa, Chordata, Mammalia, Carnivora, Canidae. The record is from RefSeq and is a predicted model, not a curated record.
UUUCCUUUUGAGGUCUUGAAAUUGUAUUGACUUCACACUCUUCGAAACCUGGAUCCACCCCUGGCUUUCUGCACUUUCCACUAUGGACCAAUCAGAGGUGGCCGUCCUCCAAUCUCCUGAUGAAAUUCAAUAUGAAAAUGAAACCACCGUCUUCAUAUUCUGAAGGGGCAUGUGUGGAGAGAGGUGUUAGAAAGUUUUAAACAAUUUGUACC